Molecule: non-coding RNA, 29 nt
Filed under: Rattus norvegicus (Norway rat)
Lineage: Eukaryota; Metazoa; Chordata; Mammalia; Rodentia; Muridae
Source: RNAcentral
UUUUGUAUUGUUUUAAGCCCGGGGUUUCC